This 357-nucleotide ribosomal RNA is filed under the name Triticum aestivum (bread wheat). RNAcentral describes it as "partial small subunit ribosomal RNA". The record is from RNAcentral. Lineage: Eukaryota; Viridiplantae; Streptophyta; Magnoliopsida; Poales; Poaceae.
AUGAUUUUUCUCACAUUUAGUGCAAAAAUAUUGAUGGCCGGGCACUAUACCGUGCAUAAACAAAAAAAUUCAGUUUUUCUUUUCGUGAUUGCAGCAGUUUUUCUGUACCAAUGGUGUGACAUAACACUACUCUUCACUUCCACAGGCAAUGGAACACUAAAUAACCUGGCAACGGAUACCCUGUGGUCUACCAUUAUAAUUAUGUGUGCAUUUUGGAUCUAUUGGAUGUCUGAAUGUAAUGCUAAUCGACAUUUACUGAUGCAAAGAUUUUGCAGGGAUGUAGAUAUAUAUGGUGAUGUUUCACUACGAUCUAAGUGUUUCAGUUCAUAUUUAGCAGGAUCACAUGUUGACCAAUGA